Molecule: ribosomal RNA, 420 nt
Filed under: uncultured bacterium
Lineage: Bacteria
Description: partial 16S ribosomal RNA
Rfam family: Bacterial small subunit ribosomal RNA
Source: RNAcentral
AAUAUUGGACAAUGGGGGCAACCCUGAUCCAGCCAUGCCGCGUGUGUGAAGAAGGUCUUCGGUUUGUAAAGCACUUUAAGUUGGGAGGAAGGGCUUUAGGUUAAUCCUCUGAAGUUUUGACGGUACCAACAGAUUAAGCACCGGCUAACUCUGUGCCAGCCGCCGCGGUAAUAAAGAGGGUGCAGGCGUUAAACGGAAUUACUGGGCGUAAAGCGCGCGUAGGUGGUUCAGUAAGAUGGGUGUGAAAUCCCCGGGCUUAACCGGGGAACUGCUUUCAUAACUGCUGAGCUAGAGUACGGUAGAGGGUAGUGGAAUUUCCUGUGUAGCGGUGAAAUGCGUAGAUAUAGGAAGGAACACCAGUGGCGAAGGCGACUACCUGGACUGAUACUGACACUGAGGUGCGAAAGCGUGGGGAGCAAA